CUUGUACACACCGCCCGUCACACCAUGGGAGUUGGCUUUACCUGAAGACGGUGCGCUAACCAGCAAUAGAGUCCCACCUCGGUGGUUGGGGCCAGGUCUGACGCACUGGAGGAGGGCCACGGGGGCGGGGUAACCUGCGGGUGAACACUUCUUUU
RNAcentral lists this ribosomal RNA (155 nucleotides) under Bradyrhizobium japonicum. RNAcentral describes it as "partial 16S ribosomal RNA". The record is from RNAcentral. Lineage: Bacteria; Pseudomonadati; Pseudomonadota; Alphaproteobacteria; Hyphomicrobiales; Nitrobacteraceae.